UUUCCGUAGGUGAACCUGCGGAAGGAUCAUUACCUAGAGCUUGUAGGCUUUGCCUGCUGUCUCUUACCCAUGUCUUUUGAGUACCUUUGUUUCCUCGGCGGGUCCGCCCGCCGACUGGACAUCACUUAAACCCUUUGCAAUUGAAAUCAGCGUCUGGAAAAACUUAAUAGUUACAACUUUCAACAACGGAUCUCUUGGUUCUGGCAUCGAUGAAGAACGCAGC
RNAcentral lists this unclassified non-coding RNA (223 nucleotides) under uncultured fungus. Its description in RNAcentral is "sequence contains ITS1, 5.8S rRNA gene". The stretch from base 175 to 223 matches the Rfam family "5.8S ribosomal RNA", at positions 1 to 49 of the family's 154-position model. The record is from RNAcentral. Lineage: Eukaryota; Fungi.